ACGCUCGACACCUACGGAGGCAGCAGUUAGGAAUAUUGGGCAAUGGAGGAAACUCUGACCCAGCAACGCCGCGUGAAGGAAGAAGGUUUUCGGAUUGUAAACUUCUGAUCUAGGGGAAGAAGGAAGUGACGGUACCCUAGGAGAAAGCCACGGCUAACUACGUGUCAGCAGCCGCGGUAAUCUGAGCGGGCUGGCAAGGC
This 200-nucleotide ribosomal RNA is filed under the name uncultured bacterium. RNAcentral's name for it is "partial 16S ribosomal RNA". It matches the Rfam family "Bacterial small subunit ribosomal RNA", at positions 328 to 539 of the family's 1533-position model. The record is from RNAcentral.